CACGAGAUGUUGCCUAACAAUUGACAGAGUAAAAUGGCAGACUUACCCGUCUAGGCUCCUUAUGAACAACUCUAAUUUCUCUGAACCCAAUGAAAGGACGAAAAAGAUCUAAAUUCGAAAUCAAGGAAUAAGAACAGAAAAGAAGCUUAAUAAUUAGAUAGAUACAGUCAAAAUAUUUCUGAAAAUGGGAAACGAAUUUUACUUAUGGCCCAGACACCAACGAGAAGUUAGUCAUGCAGAGAUACAGCAUAUAAUUAUAAUAUAAAAAAGAAGGAUACGGCCUACUUCUCUUCUGGUACAGUCAUGUGGGAGCCCAUCGACAAAUAAAACAUUUGACUCUUUCUUUAAAGCUGGAACUGGAACCGGAAGGUCAUCGAUAUUUCCAUAAGAGGCAGGCCUUUCAUUUAAUACGCCGGGGAGAGUUGAACCCAAAGGAACAUCUCCUCUCGGAGCAAGUAAACUCGGAUCUUCUACAGAAGGUGUGUAGCUUCUCAUGCUUGUUCCAGUCAUAUAUCCACCCGGAGCAGGAUCUGAACGAACACCAACACCAUCAUUUACACCAUAAGCUCUACUACGCAAUGGCAAGAUCUGCACAUUAAUUCACAGGCAUUCAAACUUUAAUCUAUUCAAAAUACAAUUUAUGGUAUGUUAUGAAAUAACGCUCUGGUAUUACAGGUAANUCAUCCCUAGCGCACACAUUUAAGGAUCGAAUCCCUGACCUUUGGGAACUAAGAAUGAGGGGUAUUCAUUAUUGAAUUUCUUAGCAACCGAACAGCUAUUACAAAACUUGAACAGCCAUUACAAAACUAAAAUACAAUUGUGCAGAGUAAUAUGAUUAUAGGUACAAUUACAAUACUAGUUUGUGAGAAAAAGCAACCAACUUUUGCCUGCUUCCUAUUUUAUGGUUUAAUCAUUGUCUUCCUUGUAAAUAUAAGAAAGAAAGUUAUACCAUUAAAAUCCUCAAAUAAACUUGCUUUCUUGUUGGUACCAUUUACACGAUAUUACUACAAAUGUUUCUAACUAAACAUCAAUUUUACGUACUUAAAUGGUAGAGUGGGGGGAAUAAAUUGUGGUAGUUGCAAAAAAGGGCAUAAACUUAAUUGUUAUUUUUUGAUAAUAUUGUUUAAUAAUCACAGCAGGAUACAUAUGUAAGCACGAGAUGUUGCCUAACAAUUGACAGAGUAAAAUGGCAGACUUACCCGUCUAGGCUCCUUAUGAACAACUCUAAUUUCUCUGAACCCAAUGAAAGGACGAAAAAGAUCUAAAUUCGAAAUCAAGGAAUAAGAACAGAAAAGAAGCUUAAUAAUUAGAUAGAUACAGUCAAAAUAUUUCUGAAAAUGGGAAACGAAUUUUACUUAUGGCCCAGACACCAACGAGAAGUUAGUCAUGCAGAGAUACAGCAUAUAAUUAUAAUAUAAAAAAGAAGGAUACGGCCUACUUCUCUUCUGGUACAGUCAUGUGGGAGCCCAUCGACAAAUAAAACAUUUGACUCUUUCUUUAAAGCUGGAACUGGAACCGGAAGGUCAUCGAUAUUUCCAUAAGAGGCAGGCCUUUCAUUUAAUACGCCGGGGAGAGUUGAACCCAAAGGAACAUCUCCUCUCGGAGCAAGUAAACUCGGAUCUUCUACAGAAGGUGUGUAGCUUCUCAUGCUUGUUCCAGUCAUAUAUCCACCCGGAGCAGGAUCUGAACGAACACCAACACCAUCAUUUACACCAUAAGCUCUACUACGCAAUGGCAAGAU
RNAcentral lists this long non-coding RNA (1741 nucleotides) under Daucus carota (carrot). RNAcentral describes it as "long non-coding RNA (DCAR_LNC000067)". Lineage: Eukaryota; Viridiplantae; Streptophyta; Magnoliopsida; Apiales; Apiaceae. The record is from RNAcentral.